This is a non-coding RNA of Pelobates cultripes (western spadefoot toad), 302 nucleotides long. The record is from the annotation of a GenBank genome assembly. Lineage: Eukaryota; Metazoa; Chordata; Amphibia; Anura; Pelobatidae.
UCCCUCUAGUUUUAUCCCUGCAGCUGAAAACAUAGCAGUUUCAGAGAAACUGCUAUGUUUCACUAAGGGUUAAUCCAGCUUCUAGUGGCGGUCUCACUGACAGCCGCUAGAGGCGCUUCCGCGAUUCUCACUGUGAAAAUCACAGUGAGAAGACAAGCUGGACGUCCAUAGGAAAGCAUUUAGUAAUGCUUUCCUAUGGGCGGUUUGAAUGCGUGCGUGGCUCUUGCCGUGAAUGCACAUUUGAAUCUUAGGUCAGCAGAGGGAGGAGAAUUCCCCAGAGCCGAGGGAGCCCGGCGCAGGAG